UAGGGAAUCUUCGGCAAUGGGGGCAACCCUGACCGAGCAACGCCGCGUGAGUGAAGAAGGUUUUCGGAUCGUAAAGCUCUGUUGUAAGAGAAGAACGUGUGUGAGAGUGGAAAGUUCACACAGUGACGGUAACUUACCAGAAAGGGACGGCUAACUACGUGCCAGCAGCCGCGGUAAUACGUAGGUCCCGAGCGUUGUCCGGAUUUAUUGGGCGUAAAGCGAGCGCAGGCGGUUUAAUAAGUCUGAAGUUAAAGGCAGUGGCUUAACCAUUGUUCGCUUUGGAAACUGUUAAACUUGAGUGCAGAAGGGGAGAGUGGAAUUCCAUGUGUAGCGGUGAAAUGUGUAGAUAUAUGGAGGAACACCGGUGGCGAAAGCGGCUCUCUGGUCUGUAACUGACGCUGAGGCUCGAAAGCGUGGGGAGCAAACAGG
This 429-nucleotide ribosomal RNA is filed under the name bacterium. RNAcentral describes it as "partial 16S ribosomal RNA". It matches the Rfam family "Bacterial small subunit ribosomal RNA", at positions 355 to 776 of the family's 1533-position model. The record is from RNAcentral.